This 240-nucleotide unclassified non-coding RNA is filed under the name soil metagenome. Its description in RNAcentral is "partial contains 5.8S ribosomal RNA, internal transcribed spacer 2, and large subunit ribosomal RNA". The record is from RNAcentral.
AACAAGGCGUACCUGCGGACCUGCGGAGGGAUCAUCAUUGAACAAAGCUUUUUCAAGCCUGGGAGGGGGUGGUUACUCUGCUCUUCCGGCUUGUAAAAACAAACAACUUUGAUACCCAAAAAGAGUCAAUCUCUUUCCUGCUGGGAAAGAGAGGGGGAAACCCCAGACAAACACAAGUAGUUGCCUGAUAAAAAAGAGUUUGGAUUGGAAAGAAACAUGAAACAACUUUCAACAACGGAU